GGCAACCCUGACGGAGCAACGCCGCGUGCGGGAAGACGGCCUGUGGGUUGUAAACCGCUUUUCUCAGGGAAGAAGAACUGACGGUACCUGAGGAAUCAGCAUCGGCUAACUCCGUGCCAGCAGCCGCGGUAAUACGGAGGAUGCAAGCGUUAUCCGGAAUUAUUGGGCGUAAAGCGUCCGCAGGCGGCUUUUCAAGUCUGCUGUUAAAGGUCGGGGCUCAACUCCGGUUCGGCAGUGGAAACUGAAAGGCUAGAGUGCAGUAGGGGUAGAGGGAAUUCCCAGUGUAGCGGUGAAAUGCGUAGAUAUUGGGAAGAACACCAGUGGCGAAGGCGCUCUACUGGGCCGUAACUGACGCUGAGGGACGAAAGCUAGGGGAGCG
RNAcentral lists this ribosomal RNA (379 nucleotides) under uncultured cyanobacterium. RNAcentral describes it as "bacterial SSU rRNA". It matches the Rfam family "Bacterial small subunit ribosomal RNA", at positions 376 to 770 of the family's 1533-position model. The record is from RNAcentral. Lineage: Bacteria; Bacillati; Cyanobacteriota.